Molecule: long non-coding RNA, 1878 nt
Organism: Mirounga angustirostris (Northern elephant seal)
Lineage: Eukaryota; Metazoa; Chordata; Mammalia; Carnivora; Phocidae
Exons: 4
Source: RefSeq, a predicted model, not a curated record
GGAAACAUGACAGGACACGAGACGACUCCAGCCACAGCCACUAUCUGACUGCAACUGCACGGGAGACCCCGAGCGAGAAUCCCGAAGUGAGAACCGCCUCGCUGAGUGCAGUCGACCUCUGGAACCAUGAGAGAACAAUCACCAGAGAAGCUUGCGAACCCAGAGAUUCCUGGAGCCCUGCCUUCAGUGUCUGAUUCAGUAGGGAGAGCCCAGGAACCUGCAUUUGAAUAUCUACUGGGGUUUCCGAUUGAAUUCUCCAACUGAGUGUUCUGCCCAUCCUGCGAAUCUACAAGAUUUCAACUAUUGUCUACAUCUCUGGCCCUGACUUCAAUCCUUCAUCCUCUGAUGCUGCUUGAAAUUCCCUAGUUGGGUGUUUUGCCUAUCUCAAAUUAAUUAUCUACAACUGAACUCAUCUUCGGCUUGGAAUCAGUAAUCUUCUUGACACUUCUCUUUUUUGACGGUGGUCCCUUAAGUGAUUCACUCAUCUAGACUCAGAAAAACUCAUAUUUUUUUUUAAGAUUUUAUUUUCUUACUUAUUUAAGAGAGAGCGCAAGAAACUGGUAGACGAACAGACAAGAUGCUUAAUGUGGAAGAAAUUUUUAUGACAGAAAUAUUCAAAUGGAGGAUGGAAAAUCACUUGUUGGGAGUGCCUUUAGGAGGACUAUCUGUAUCCAGGAAAAAUACAAGGGAGCUGUGAUUCUAAUUGUAAAGAUUAGUUAUGAAGUAUUUUCAGUUAAAAAUUCUACUUAGGAAGUAGUACUUGUAAUUGAGAGAAUUUUGAAGUGUGGGACUCCUGUCUUCUCUGUCCCUGGAUCCUGCUGCCUUCAGUGUUUUGCAAAGCCGGAGUCAUUUUCCAGGUCAACAAUUCUGAUCCUGAUGCUGUUACAAAGUAAACCAUCAGCCUAGGCAUGUAUUGGUCAGCAUCUGUUCAUUUACUAAAUAUUUUAGAACAUUAACUGGUUCUUGGCCAAAUACUGAUCUGAUAGACUUUGAGGUGGGACUUUGCAGCCAUGAACAUUCAUCUGAUCACCUUCCAGGAUGUUUGUGAGUGCUGGAGGGACCAGUUAAGGUCAUCCAAUCCAAUGGCGUCACUUGUUCCACAUGAUGCUUUCUUCAUCCAUCCAAACCUGCAAAUGUGCAGGUCCCACAGAAAGAGCCCCAGCUCAGCUACAAGGAUUCCUGGCUUCCAAAAUGGCCAUUGAGGUACUGUGUGUGCCUGAUCAAAGUGCCUCUCGAGGCCUCAGUUUCUUUCCCCAUAGUACAUGGCUACUGCUGGGAUGCGGACCUGGUUUUCUUCAGGUGAGAACUGGAAAUGUGGGAAACUUCUUUGACGUGUUGCUUUUCCCACAUCCCCCAAGGACCCACCGAUCCCCAUCCAUUCUCUUCUCUUCUCGGGGAUCCACCCUGCUCCUUCCAUCCCCAGUGCAACUGUCCCAGUUCAGAUCUUCAUCAUUUCCCACCUGAAGUAUCACAAUACCCUGAUAACUGGCCUUGCUUCCUGGAUUGUGCCCACCACCCCCUCCUCUACUACUAUCCAUUCUUCAUACAAGCUGUGCUAUUUUUUAAAGGAAAAUAUGAUCAUGUCCCUCCCUUCUUAAGUCUUCAUUGGCUUCCAAUUAACUUACAUGAUCAUACAUAUACUCCUUAGCAUGUGCCUACACUUGAUUCCCUAAUAUUCCAGUUACCUCCUUUGUUCUGUCUUUGGUCUUCUUUCCCUCUCACUGUAGAAUCCACAUCUUACCGUUUACUUACCCAUUUCCCCCACAGUAAACUCCUUCAGGGCAGAGACUGUUCAAAAUCGAAUUCCUGUGGCUAGGACCAGCAUGUGCCUGCCUGGCACCCAAAGUAUACUCGAUAAAUAAAAACCCAAGAAGACUA